RNAcentral lists this ribosomal RNA (113 nucleotides) under Leptotrichia sp. oral taxon 498. The record is from RNAcentral. Lineage: Bacteria; Fusobacteriati; Fusobacteriota; Fusobacteriia; Fusobacteriales; Leptotrichiaceae.
UUUGGUGACCAUUGCGGCAGGGAUACACCCGGUGACAUCCCGAACCCGGCAGUUAAGUCUGCUUGCGCCUACGAUACUUGGCAUGUGCCAGGGAAAAUGGGCAGUCGCCAAAC